Molecule: ribosomal RNA, 460 nt
Filed under: uncultured bacterium
Lineage: Bacteria
Description: partial 16S ribosomal RNA
Rfam family: Bacterial small subunit ribosomal RNA
Source: RNAcentral
CCUACGGGAGGCAGCAGUGAGGAAUAUUGGUCAAUGGACGAGAGUCUGAACCAGCCAAGUAGCGUGAAGGAUGACUGUCCUAAGGGUUGUAAACUUCUUUUAUCAGGGAAUAAAAGCGUCGACGUGUGGGCUGUUGAAUGUACCAUAAGAAAAAGCAUCGGCUAACUCCGUGCCAGCAGCCGCGGUAAUACGGAGGAUUCGAGCGUUAUCCGGAUUUAUUGGGUUUAAAGGGUGCGGAGGCCGGUCUUUAAGUGAGCCGUGAAAUGCUGUGGCUCAACCCUGCGAGUGCGGCGGAAACUGGAGGUCUCGAGUUGGAGGGAGGCAGGCGGAAUGCGCGGUGUAGCGGUGAAAUGCAUAGAUAUCGCGAAGAACCCCGAUUGCGAAGGCAGCAUGCCGGCGCCAUACUGACGCUGAGGCACGAAAGCGUGGGUAUCGAACAGGAUUAGAUACCCGAGUAGUC